RNAcentral lists this ribosomal RNA (253 nucleotides) under uncultured bacterium. RNAcentral describes it as "partial 16S ribosomal RNA". It matches the Rfam family "Bacterial small subunit ribosomal RNA", at positions 524 to 776 of the family's 1533-position model. The record is from RNAcentral.
UACGAAGGGUGCUAGCGUUGUUCGGAAUUAUUGGGCGUAAAGCGUGCGUAGGCGGUUUAGUAAGUCGGCUGUGAAAGCCCAGAGCUUAACUUUGGAAUUGCAGUCGAAACUAUUAGACUUGAGUAUGGUGGGGGAUAGUGGAAUUCCUAGUGUAGGGGUGAAAUCCGUAGAUAUUAGGAGGAACACCGGUGGCGAAAGCGACUAUCUACGCCAAUACUGACGCUGAGGCACGAAAGUGUGGGGAGCAAACAGG